GGCUUACUUGGGUCCACGUUUCAACAAUCAUCGAGCAUCCAGAGCCAUGGCUGGGCUGUGAGGAGCUGCGAGCAUCCCUCCCUUCCCCUCCCCUCCCUUCGUGUGGUGUUUUGUCUAGGUUUGCUUGUAAGAUGGAAGCUGGUCAUACCAGCAAGUGAGGUCAAGCCUGAAACACACUCAUGGUGUGGGUCCUGUCUACAGCUUUCCAGGAAGGCAGCAAGAGAGAGGAAAGCUCGAUGCAGACGUGCAUGCCCUUCACAUGCUGCUGAUGGCAUAAUUUACCCGGCAGCUGUCACAGCUGUUGCCCCUUAGCCCCAAAUACCUGGGCUGGCAACGUCUGUGUGGGGGGAGCUGGGGCCAGAGCUUUGGGGCAGCUGCGUUCAGACGCAGCUCAGGCUCUGGGCUGGGAAAGCUGCGCCUUUGCUCCGUGCUCAGCGCGCUGGGGUUACGGCUCUGCAGGGAAGAACAAGCUCCCAGGGCAAAGCUGCCGCGUGGUUUGUGCUGCCCAACCUUUGGAGUCCCAGGGGACUCCUUGGAGAGGCCGCAUGCAGCGUUCCUGGCUUUCAGGCUUUGAGGUUAUUAUGUGGUGGUAGUUCACAGGCUCUUCAGAAUGGCUGUGGAAGAUCCAGCUGCUUAGGAACACGCGUCACGAGACGUUCUGGCACUGUCAGGGUCCCAGGGUGGUGAGAAGGCAUAUGGAGAGAAAGACAGAAGCACAGUGAAGCAGCAGGAACAGUAAGAAGGAAAACCCGAGCUGUGGAGCCAGCCGUGCCCAGGAUAACCGUGUGCGAGGAACAAGCCACGUGUGGAAUCCUAAGCAGAGAACUCCUGGGGAGGGGCAAGAAAAGUACCACGAAGUAAAAAUCCUUUAGGCAAAAUAGAUAAUUGCACCGCGAUGGAUAUGUGAUUCUUUUUCUUAUGUAUCUAGGCAACUAUUUGCUUUAGAAGUAAUGACUGUUAUAAAUCACAGAAUGAAGUUUCUAACCCCAACACAUGCCUGGAACAGAGCUGUUGAUACUAUCCAGCUAAUAAAACAUAUUUCUUGAAGCA
RNAcentral lists this long non-coding RNA (1050 nucleotides) under Anser brachyrhynchus (Pink-footed goose). RNAcentral's name for it is "lncRNA (ENSABRG00000009560.1)". Lineage: Eukaryota; Metazoa; Chordata; Aves; Anseriformes; Anatidae. The record is from RNAcentral.